This 433-nucleotide ribosomal RNA is filed under the name uncultured bacterium. RNAcentral describes it as "partial 16S ribosomal RNA". It matches the Rfam family "Bacterial small subunit ribosomal RNA", at positions 29 to 507 of the family's 1533-position model. The record is from RNAcentral.
AACGAACGCUGGCGGCAUGCCUAACACAUGCAAGUCGAACGAGACCUUCGGGUCUAGUGGCGCACGGGUGCGUAACGCGUGGGAACCUGCCUUUAGGUCCGGAAUAACUCCCCGAAAGGGGUGCUAAUACCGGAUAAUGUCUUCGGACCAAAGAUUGAUCGCCUUUGGAUGGGCCCGAGUUGGAUUACUUAGUUGUUAGGGUAAAAGCCUAUAAAGGCGACGAUCCAUAGCUGGGUUGAGAGGAAGGUCAGCCACACUGGGAGUGAGACACGGCCCAGACUCCUGCGGGAGGCAGCAGUGGGGAAUAUUGGACAGUGGGCGGAAGCAUGAUCGUGCAAUGCCGCGUGAGUGAUGAAGGCCUGAGGGUUGUAAAGCUCGUUUACCCGGGAUGAUAAUGACAUUACCAAGAGAAUAAGCUCCGGCUAACUCCGUG